CGGGCUUUUGCUGCCGCUGCGCGAGGCCCUGUGGGAGGCCCGUGGAGCGCGGGCCGGCGCGGUGGCCGCUGGUGAACGUGGCCGUCUCCCUCCGGCCUCGCUGGGACUCAGCAGGGGGAGCCGUGGUCCAGGAAAGAGUUGGGGGGCCGGGCUCGGCGGCUGGGCCCCAGACCCCCCCUGGCGGCGGCCGUGAGAGUGUAAACCGGGAGUGGAGUAGCCUCCAGCAGUGAGACCUCUGGACAGCUGUUUUUCCUUCCCAUCAGCAAAGAAUCCCGUGGUCCAUCACUCCCAUGAGCUCGCUGGCAAAACAGGUUACAGUGGACGUUUGUACUUCCUGUUUCCAUUUUCUAAAGAACAAGGAGGAUUUGGAGCAGAUGAAAACUCUUCCCUCAUCCCCAAGACUGGAUUGGAUGUCUCCCCAAGGCUUCCCUUUCAUCUUGGAUCCAUCCAGAGCCCUUUGACAUCAUGGCCUGAUUUUGACUUUUUAUUGAACAAAACGAUGAACUCUUUGAGAAAGACAUCACUGCACAUCGCAUGGCAAGGCGAUACCAUUUCACACAUCCCUGAGCAGUGACGUGGCAGAUGCACUGGAAAUGCCAAGGACUGUGGUGAUUAUAUUACUAGAGUGAACAGGUGUUUCAGUAACCAGGCCCUUCCUUGUUUUCUACGUAAUACAUAAACAGUACAAAAUUUGGAAGAUUCAAAUGAGUGCCAAGAAAAAAGACGAUCUCCUACCAUGUCCCCUUGCACCCUCUGUCUCCUUCUCUGGAGGGGAAGCUCAGACAAUUCCUGCGGAGUCUUGAAGAGAUGCAGCAGCACGUACAGGUACCCCCACUUUCUGAGAAUUUGUGUUAUGCUGCUUUGCUUUCACUGGAGACCUAUGUGAGUUCUUUUUUUUGGCAACAGAAGGAAAUCUGAAGAAGAUUUUCACUUUUAGGGAAAAAGGUGAAAAGCACAAAGAGCGUUCAGCAUUGGUUUUGAAGUGCUCCAUGACAGGGGCAGCCCGCUCCCCAAGGGAGAGCCCCCCAAGCUCCUUCCCCAAACCACACUCAGCCUCUCAGCCCCAAGUCACCGGAGCCCUGGACUCUGGGAGCAUUUGAGCUUUAUCUCCACUUAUUCUGAGCAUCGCUUAGUAAGACGUGUCCUGAAGAAUCAGAAAAGCCUAAGAGAGGUGAUUUUGGGGGUCUAGGAACACUUAAUGACUGUUCCAUGUAAUUGAAUGGUGAUUGCUCUCUCCCUUUACACCGCUUCAGCUUGGGGAAGGUUUCAUAGGAGCGCACUCCUUCCAGAGAGCGGGGGAACCUGUUUAGGCAUAAAUAAUACAUAUCUCCUUUUAAAAAACACAUGAAUGGUUAAAGAAUCUCCGCAGCGCCCUUCAGCUGUGUGUGCUUAAUGUAUCCCAAAGACACUCAGGACUGCCUUGUUCUUUAGUUUCAGGUUAUCAUGGGCUGAUAUACCACCUUUUCCUUAAUCAAACUUAUGCUAAUUUAUUUCUUCCCCUUCACUGUAGUGUAACUUUACAGUGACUGUCCUUAAAUAUAUUUUUUUGUGUAUACAUGACAAUAUCUGUAAGAUAAACCCCUGGAAACUGAAUAACUUUCCCAGAGUAUAAAUGUAUUUUAAAUUUUGAUAGCUUUCGGCACCUGCCCCCACAGAAAAUCAAUGUAUACAUGAUAUAAAUAUAAAUAUUUGCAUCAAAAAAGCAUGAGAAUAUCUAUUUUCUCACAUUCUAUCAACACAAAUAAUUAUCAAAGUUUUGCUUUGCAAAUUUGGCAGCCAAAAGAAAAAUACUACUUUAGUUUUUGUUAUGGAUGAGAAGGAUCUUAUAAGGAUCUUUUUAUAAAUUCAAUAGCUGUUUGUUUUCUUUGACCUAUCAUCAUCUUUUUACAUUUUUUAACUUUUUUUUAAACAGUUGUAAUUGUUAUUUGAUACGAGUUGAUAGGUUUCCUUACAGGAGCUCUUCAUAUAAUAAAGAAAAAAGUCAUUUUUCUUCUACUUCAUUACAAAUAUUUUCCUAUCAUUUCAUCUGCUUGGACUCAUUUAUGGUAGCCACUGCAGAAUAUUUUUCUAAAUUUUGUAAAUUAAAUUUAGC
Manis javanica (Malayan pangolin) is the source of this 2092-nucleotide non-coding RNA. The record is from RefSeq and is a predicted model, not a curated record. Lineage: Eukaryota; Metazoa; Chordata; Mammalia; Pholidota; Manidae.